GUGCCAGCAGCCGCGGUAAUACGUAGGAUGCAAGCGUUGUCCGGAAUUAUUGGGCGUAAAGCGUACGUAGGCGGUUUGUUAAGUCAGGGGUUAAAGACUGAGGCUCAACCUCAGGAGUGCCCUUGAUACUGGCAGGCUGGAGGACGGCAGAGGAAAGUGGAAUUCCCAGUGUAGCGGUGAAAUGCGUAGAUAUUGGGAGGAACACCAGUGGCGAAAGCGACUUUCUGGGCCGUUCCUGACGCUGAGGUACGAAAGCGUGGGGAGCAAACAGGAUUAGAUACCCUGGUAGUCC
This 292-nucleotide ribosomal RNA is filed under the name uncultured bacterium. RNAcentral's name for it is "partial 16S ribosomal RNA". It matches the Rfam family "Bacterial small subunit ribosomal RNA", at positions 505 to 796 of the family's 1533-position model. The record is from RNAcentral.